AAUCUUUCUUUGUCCCAGACCUUAUGUCCUAACCGUGAAAAGAGAUGACUAUGACGAUAGAGAAGAUGCUGGCUUCCGACUGUUGGGGUCGAAGUUUCCUCAAAAUCCUGUUUCAAAACUCUUUUUCAUGGUGGGUCGGUUCACAAUCAGCACCCAACACCUUCCCCUCCAAUCAUAAGUUGCAUAAUGUCUACCUACAAAACAGCGAUUGAAGUUAGAUCCUUUAGAAAAACUAUUUUUCCUUAUUUUGUGAGUUAUCCAGCUCAUCUCAUCUGAUAACAAGUGAACCAAAAAAAAAAUUGAACUUCCGAUGUUUGAGCAUUUGUUAAAAAUCAAAGUCUUGAUUCAGUUGAGCUGUGACUAUAAAAUGUAAUUUUUCACCAAAAAGAAAUUUUUAUUAUAAAUCAGAUUAUUUAGUUCUGAUUUUUGUUUUAACUCCAACUAACUGAAGAGUAUUGAAUCAUAUACUUUUCUUUGAAGAUGAAUCCUUACUAUGGUUCGUUGGUUCGUUUUUGCUAUGACC
This 523-nucleotide long non-coding RNA is filed under the name Brassica napus (rape). Its description in RNAcentral is "long non-coding RNA (BNAP_LNC008811)". The record is from RNAcentral. Lineage: Eukaryota; Viridiplantae; Streptophyta; Magnoliopsida; Brassicales; Brassicaceae.